This 244-nucleotide ribosomal RNA is filed under the name uncultured bacterium. RNAcentral describes it as "partial 16S ribosomal RNA". It matches the Rfam family "Bacterial small subunit ribosomal RNA", at positions 8 to 247 of the family's 1533-position model. The record is from RNAcentral.
AGAGUUUGAUCAUGGCUCAGGAUGAACGCUAGCGGCAGGCUUAACACAUGCAAGUCGAGGGGCAGCGGGGUGUAUCAAUACACUGCCGGCGACCGGCGCACGGGUGCGUAACGCGUAUGCAACCUACCCAUAACAGGGGCAUAACACUGAGAAAUUGGUACUAAUUCCCCACUAACAUUCGAAGAGGCAUCUCUUUGGGUUGAAAACUCCGGUGGUUAUGGAUGGGCAUGCGUUGUAUUAGCUA